GGGAAUUUUGGAAAUUUUCUGAGCAUUUAGAGAAUGAGGACUGGGACUUUAGUUAGUCCACAUCUAGAAUUCUCCAAAAUCUAGACAUACCUUUCUGUACCCUAGAAAACCAUGCUGUGUUCCAGUUUACUUUGAAUGUUUCAGUGAAAAUGAUGAAGCUGAAAAAAUGAUGGAGCCCUAUUUUACCUGAACUUGGACCUGCAGCCUCCCUCCUGCUAAAUGGACUGAUCCUCGCCCUCACCUGACUGUUCCACCCCCACACCUGU
RNAcentral lists this long non-coding RNA (266 nucleotides) under Macaca mulatta (Rhesus monkey). RNAcentral describes it as "lncRNA (ENSMMUG00000058832.1)". The record is from RNAcentral. Lineage: Eukaryota; Metazoa; Chordata; Mammalia; Primates; Cercopithecidae.